CAGUAGCCACGGUAAUACGAAGGGGGCUAGCGCUGUUCGGAUUUACUGGGCGUAAAGCGCACGUAGGCGGAUCCUUAAGUCAGAGGUGAAAUCCCAAGGCUCAACCUUGGAACUGCCUUUGAUACUGGGGAUCUCGAGUUCGGGAGAGGUGAGUGGAACUGCGAGUGUAGAGGUGAAAUUCGUAGAUAUUCGCAAGAACACCAGUGGCGAAGGCGGCUCACUGGCCCGAUACUGACGCUGAGGUGCGAAAGCGUGGGGAGCAAACAGGAUUAGAUACCCCUGUAGUCCCUGUCUCUUAUAC
This 301-nucleotide ribosomal RNA is filed under the name uncultured bacterium. RNAcentral's name for it is "partial 16S ribosomal RNA". It matches the Rfam family "Bacterial small subunit ribosomal RNA", at positions 509 to 807 of the family's 1533-position model. The record is from RNAcentral.